UACACUCCUACGGGAGGCAGCAGUGGGGAAUUUUGGACAAUGGGGGCAACCCUGAUCCAGCAAUGCCGCGUGAGUGAAGAAGGCCUUCGGGUUGUAAAGCUCUUUUGUCAGGGAAGAAACGGUGGUGGCGAAUAACUACUACUAAUGACGGUACCUGAAGAAUAAGCACCGGCUAACUACGUGCCAGCAGCCGCGGUAAUACGUAGGGUGCAAGCGUUAAUCGGAAUUACUGGGCGUAAAGCGUGCGCAGGCGGUUGUGUAAGUCAGAUGUGAAAUCCCCGGGCUCAACCUGGGAAUUGCAUUUGAGACUGCACGGCUAGAGUGUGUCAGAGGGGGGUAGAAUUCCACGUGUAGCAGUGAAAUGCGUAGAUAUGUGGAGGAAUACCGAUGGCGAAGGCAGCCCCCUGGGAUAACACUGACGCUCAUGCACGAAAGCGUGGGGAGCAAACAGGAUUAGAUACCCGUGUAGUCCCAUGA
This 477-nucleotide ribosomal RNA is filed under the name uncultured organism. RNAcentral's name for it is "partial 16S ribosomal RNA". It matches the Rfam family "Bacterial small subunit ribosomal RNA", at positions 332 to 800 of the family's 1533-position model. The record is from RNAcentral.